UACGUAGGUGGCAAGCGUUGUUCGGAAUAACUGGGCGUAAAGGAUGCGUAGGCGGUUAAACAAGUUAUAUGUUAAAUAUAUAGGCUUAACCUGUAGAAAGCAUAUAAAACUGUUUAACUAGAGUGCAGGAGAGGUAAGUGGAACUCCUAGUGUAGCGGUGAAAUGCGUAGAGAUUAGGAAGAACACCAGUGGCGAAGGCGACUUACUGGACUGUAACUGACGCUGAGGCAUGAGAGCAUGGGGAGCAAACAGG
Molecule: ribosomal RNA, 253 nt
Filed under: uncultured bacterium
Lineage: Bacteria
Description: partial 16S ribosomal RNA
Rfam family: Bacterial small subunit ribosomal RNA
Source: RNAcentral